Molecule: ribosomal RNA, 767 nt
Filed under: uncultured bacterium
Lineage: Bacteria
Description: bacterial SSU rRNA
Rfam family: Bacterial small subunit ribosomal RNA
Source: RNAcentral
GAGUAACACGUAAACACCUGCCUUCAGGAUGGGGACAACAGACGGAAACGACUGCUAAUACCGAAUAAGUUCCAAGAGCCGCAUGGCCCAUGGAAGAAAAGGUGGCCUCUACCUGUAAGCUAUCGCCUGAAGAGGGGUUUGCGUCUGAUUAGCUGGUUGGAGGGGUAACGGCCCACCAAGGCGACGAUCAGUAGCCGGUCUGAGAGGAUGAACGGCCACACUGGAACUGAGACACGGUCCAGACUCCUACGGGAGGCAGCAGUGGGGAAUCUUCCGCAAUGGGCGAAAGCCUGACGGAGCAACGCCGCGUGAGUGAUGACGGCCUUCGGGUUGUAAAACUCUGUGAUCCGGGACGAAAAGGCAGACUGCGGAAAACAGACAGCAUUGACGGUACCGGAAAAGCAAGCCACGGCUAACUACGUGCCAGCAGCCGCGGUAAUACGUAGGUGGCAAGCGUUGUCCGGAAUUAUUGGGCGUAAAGCGCGCGCAGGCGGCUUCCCAAGUCCCUCUUAAAAGUGCGGGGCUUAACCCCGUGAUGGGAAGGAAACUGGGAAGCUGGAGUAUCGGAGAGGAAAGUGGAAUUCCUAGUGUAGCGGUGAAAUGCGUAGAGAUUAGGAAGAACACCGGUGGCGAAGGCGACUUUCUGGACGAAAACUGACGCUGAGGCGCGAAAGCGUGGGGAGCAAACAGGAUUAGAUACCCUGGUAGUCCACGCCGUAAACGAUGGAUACUAGGUGUAGGAGGUAUCGACCCCUCCUGUGCCGGAG